Molecule: ribosomal RNA, 406 nt
Filed under: uncultured Gemmatimonadota bacterium
Lineage: Bacteria; Pseudomonadati; Gemmatimonadota
Description: bacterial SSU rRNA
Rfam family: Bacterial small subunit ribosomal RNA
Source: RNAcentral
UGGGGAAUCUUGCGCAAUGGGCGAAAGCCUGACGCAGCGACGCCGCGUGCGGGAUGAAGGCCUUCGGGUCGUAAACCGCUGUCGGGAGGGACGAAGCUCUGACGGUACCUCCAAAGGAAGCACCGGCUAACUCCGUGCCAGCAGCCGCGGUAAUACGGAGGGUGCAAGCGUUGUCCGGAAUCACUGGGCGUAAAGGGCGCGUAGGCGGCGCGGUAAGUAGGGGGUGAAAUCCUGCGGCUCAACCGCAGAAUGGCCUUCUAGACUGCCGUGCUUGAGCACAGUAGAGGCAGACGGAAUUCCCGGUGUAGCGGUGGAAUGCGUAGAGAUCGGGAAGAACACCGGUGGCGAAGGCGGUCUGCUGGGCUGUUGCUGACGCUGAGGCGCGACAGCGUGGGGAGCAAACAGG